UGCUGCUAAAAUAGUCGAUAUAAAAAAUAAGAGGUAUAUUGUCCAAGAAGUCCUAGCCAUGGGAUAUUUGCUAAAAUUCAUAAACCAACAGUGGUGCUAAGGAUCAUUAAGAAUCAACCAUCAUAAAAUCAACAAACACUAAUUGAUGUGAAAAGUAAUGAACCUAAGGAUAAGCACCGCACUGUUAGUACUCAUGAUAAAUGCUUAUGCUUUGAGCUUAUGAUCACAAAGCUCUCCUAGUAUGCCCUUUUGGCUUGUAAAU
RNAcentral lists this long non-coding RNA (262 nucleotides) under Lupinus angustifolius (narrow-leaved blue lupine). RNAcentral describes it as "long non-coding RNA (LANG_LNC000597)". Lineage: Eukaryota; Viridiplantae; Streptophyta; Magnoliopsida; Fabales; Fabaceae. The record is from RNAcentral.